Molecule: ribosomal RNA, 320 nt
Filed under: uncultured bacterium
Lineage: Bacteria
Description: bacterial SSU rRNA
Rfam family: Bacterial small subunit ribosomal RNA
Source: RNAcentral
UAGGAGCUCCUGCUGCAUGGUGGGGGUUGGAAAGUUUCGGCGGUUGGGGAUGGACUCGCGGCUUAUCAGCUUGUUGUGGGGGUAGUGGGCUUACCAAGGCUUUGACGGGUAGCCGGCCUGAGAGGGUGACCGGCCACAUUGGGACUGAGAUACGGCCCAGACUCCUACGGGAGGCAGCAGUGGGGAAUAUUGCACAAUGGGCGGAAGCCUGAUGCAGCAACGCCGCGUGCGGGAUGACGGCCUUCGGGUUGUAAACCGCUUUCGCCUGUGACGAAGCGUGAGUGACGGUAAUGGGUAAAGAAGCACCGGCUAACUACGUG